Molecule: ribosomal RNA, 617 nt
Filed under: uncultured bacterium
Lineage: Bacteria
Description: bacterial SSU rRNA
Rfam family: Bacterial small subunit ribosomal RNA
Source: RNAcentral
CCUACGGGAGGCAGCAGUGGGGAAUUUUGGACAAUGGGCGCAAGCCUGAUCCAGCAAUGCCGCGUGCAGGAUGAAGGCCUUCGGGUUGUAAACUGCUUUUGUACGGAACGAAACGGUGAGCUCUAAUAAAGUUUGCUAAUGACGGUACCGUAAGAAUAAGCACCGGCUAACUACGUGCCAGCAGCCGCGGUAAUACGUAGGGUGCGAGCGUUAAUCGGAAUUACUGGGCGUAAAGCGUGCGCAGGCGGUUAUAUAAGACAGAUGUGAAAUCCCCGGGCUCAACCUGGGACCUGCAUUUGUGACUGUAUAGCUAGAGUACGGUAGAGGGGGAUGGAAUUCCGCGUGUAGCAGUGAAAUGCGUAGAUAUGCGGAGGAACACCGAUGGCGAAGGCAAUCCCCUGGACCUGUACUGACGCUCAUGCACGAAAGCGUGGGGAGCAAACAGGAUUAGAUACCCUGGUAGUCCACGCCCUAAACGAUGUCAACUGGUUGUUGGGUCUUCACUGACUCAGUAACGAAGCUAACGCGUGAAGUUGACCGCCUGGGGAGUACGGCCGCAAGGUUGAAACUUAAAGGAAUUGACGGCUGAGAGNGCGAGACGACGACGAGGGAGGAGG